RNAcentral lists this ribosomal RNA (253 nucleotides) under uncultured bacterium. Its description in RNAcentral is "partial 16S ribosomal RNA". It matches the Rfam family "Bacterial small subunit ribosomal RNA", at positions 524 to 776 of the family's 1533-position model. The record is from RNAcentral.
UACGGAGGGGGCAAACGUUGUUCGGAUUUAUUGGGUGUAAAGGGUGUGUAGGCGGGCUUGUAAGUCGGAUGUGAAAUACUUUAGCUUAACUAAAGAACUGCAUUCGAAACUGCUUGUCUUGAGUUUGGGAGAGGAGAGUGGAAUUCUCGGUGUAAGGGUGAAAUCUGUAGAUAUCGAGAGGAACACCAGUGGCGAAAGCGGCUCUCUGGACCAAAACUGACGCUGAAACACGAAAGCUAGGGGAGCAAACAGG